ACCCCCAGUCGGGUCAAACCGAACACCUGGGCUGGGCAGCUAGGCAGGUACCGACCCGAAAUCCCUGGGCUGAGCUCUGCUGCUGCCCUGGUACCGAAUCGGACCCUGGGGCUGUGCCGCCGAUCAGGUACCAACCUGAACCAAAGCCUUGGCUGGACACCGAACCCCUCAGCCCUGGGCCAGACUGCCGUCCUGGUGCUGACCCGAACUGAAUUCCCCCGCUGGGCUGGGCUGCUGGCCAAAUACCGACCGAACUGAACCUCCUGCCCCGGGCAGGGAUGACGUUCAGGCUGGAGGCGGGCAGCGAGAACUAGGGCACACACACCUGCAUGUUCCUGGCUACUUGUGGGCCCCCACCCGCCAGAAUCCAGGAGCACUGCACCAUUGCCCAGGUGGAGGUCCUUCCCCAGGCAGCAUGGAAGGGGCUGGCUUGUGCCCAGCAGCUCCCUGGUAUCGGGGGGGGGAGAGGGGAACCAGGUGCUGGCCUGGCUACGGAGCAACUGCUGGGCAUCUCCCAAGUAUCCCUCAGCAAGGUGUCGGUUGCCUGCCCCCUCCUGAGCCCUGCCUGACCCCACCCUGACUGCUCCUUCACCUUGUUUCCAGGCAGAGGUGGCCAGAAUGGAGGGACCCCCACUGGUGCCUCACAUUUCCCCGCCUGGUGAGUGCUUCCUGCUGCUCAGUUGUGCGCCGCUCAGCAGGAGGCUUACAGGCCUGGAGCCUGGCCCUCCCCAGCUCGCCAGUUCAAAAGGCUCCUUCUCCAAGGGCACCCCUAGGCCUCAGAAACAGCUGAUCCUGACCUGUGCACUGCCAGAAUGCAGGGCUCUGAGCUGCUUCCCUGCCAGCUGGGGGAGCCGUGCCAUGCCUGCCUUGGCAGAGGGUCACCCCAGUGGUGGCUCUUGUGCCUAGGCACUGCAGUGGGGCGUAUGGGUUGGCGUGCCCACCGGCAGUGUCCAUCCCCACAGGAUCUGUGUGCAUGUGUGGAACUUGCCAGAGGACUCCAGCUGUCCCUUCCCACUCUGAGCCUGGUUUGUCCACUGGUCUCUAGGCCUCUGAGCUGUAGGAGCCAAGCCUCAGGUGUCUGGGGCUUGCCCCAAAGCUCUAUGGUGCCUGCUCUCUUCUCACCCUCCUGUAGGGACAGCUCAAGCAAUGAGGCUGUGAAGACGCACCGAGAGUGAGUCGCGGACGGAUAUACUGGUGGGCAGGGGCAUACCUGGGACAGCUCCACCCAUGGACUCCAGCGCUUCCAGUCAGGGAAACUGGCUUUGCACCUUUGCUGUGUUGAAGAUUGCAGCCAUGUCACCUGUGGGCUAGCUCUUGGCCAGCAGGGAGCUAUACAGCCAGCUGGCCUGUGCCCAUCCCAGCUGGACUCUGCACAGUCACUCAGGCAGGGCAAGCUGCCAUGUCACCCCUGUGGUCACUUCUGGGGGCACCUGCACUGCCCCAAAAGCACAUCAGCCCUUCCCCAUACCUGCCCCAGACAAAACAGGCCCCUGUAGCUGCCAUAGGCCUGUGUACAUGGGGGUGGUGUAUAGUCAGUGCCUCAGUUGUCCUCGUGCCCAGCUUAAAUCCUCCCCAAGCACGUGCCUCUGCGUCCCUCUCCAACUCUUGUCCACUGCUACCAUCACCACUGAUGAGCCAAAAGCCUUCCCAUCCCCCAGCCCCUUCCCAGGAAAAUUGCCUGAACCACCCCCCCAGCCCCCCCGUUUCCCUGCUGCCAAGCCUCUUCCUCUGCCCUCAGGGACUAUGAGACUCAUGCACCUGCACUAUUUGCUGC
This is a non-coding RNA of Chelonoidis abingdonii (Abingdon island giant tortoise), 1774 nucleotides long. NCBI's taxonomy places the organism in Eukaryota, Metazoa, Chordata, Testudines, Testudinidae. The record is from RefSeq and is a predicted model, not a curated record.